This 301-nucleotide ribosomal RNA is filed under the name uncultured bacterium. RNAcentral describes it as "partial 16S ribosomal RNA". It matches the Rfam family "Bacterial small subunit ribosomal RNA", at positions 509 to 808 of the family's 1533-position model. The record is from RNAcentral.
CAGUCGCCGCGGGAAUACGGAGGGCGCGAGCGUUACCCGGAUUUACUGGGCGUAAAGGGCGUGUAGGCGGCCUGGGGCGUCCCAUGUGAAAGGCCACGGCUCAACCGUGGAGGAGCGUGGGAUACGCUCAGGCUAGAGGGUGGGAGAGGGUGGUGGAAUUCCCGGAGUAGCGGUGGAAUGCGCAGAUACCGGGAGGAACGCCGAUGGCGAAGGCAGCCACCUGGUCCACUUCUGACGCUGAGGCGCGAAAGCGUGGGGAGCAAACCGGAUUAGAUACCCGCGUAGUCCUGUCUCUUAUACC